AAUGCCGGAUUAAUUUCUUGUUGGACAGUGCUGGAACAGAGGAUAAACCUCUGAAGAUUCCCAAAGAGGUCUGGUUACUUGUUAAUCACCUCUACACCAAGGCCUGCCAGCAGGAGGACCUUUUCCAGACCCCUGGCCUGCAGGAUGAUCUACAAAGUAUUAUUGACUGCUUGGACACCAGCAUUCCUGAAUCCAUCCCUGGCUCUAAUCACUCAGUUGCCGAAGCACUAUUGAUCUACUUGGAGGCUCUUCCUGAGCCUGUGCUGUGUUAUGAACUCUAUCAGCGCUGUCUUGAAUGCUCUCAUGACAGCCGCCUGUGCAAGCAGGUAAACAUGGAUGCAUGGCAGUAACUAUACUGGGACUGUCAAGACUAUGUAUUUAAUAUGCUAUUUGUGCUAUCUAUGUAUGUUCUUGUUUCAGUUCCUAUUCACAAGCUCUCCAUAUGAUUCUGCAUUCAAUGUGAUUUGAUUCUGAUUCACUUUGGGUGUAUUUUAUUGUCCAUUUUGCUUAUAUGAAAGAAACUGUCUCUCAGCUAUUGAUGUAACUUAUACAGAAUUAACAAUGGAGUCUAAACUAUGCAGUUCAGUUGCUGUUUAUUU
Long non-coding RNA from Sinocyclocheilus anshuiensis, 599 nucleotides. RefSeq lists it as uncharacterized. The transcript has 3 exons. The record is from RefSeq and is a predicted model, not a curated record. Lineage: Eukaryota; Metazoa; Chordata; Actinopteri; Cypriniformes; Cyprinidae.